UAAUUUUUAGUGUACACCGGCACGUCAAGCUUUGAUUUUGAAAGAGGUAGUUACCAAAAUUUU
RNAcentral lists this transfer RNA (63 nucleotides) under Macrocheles muscaedomesticae. RNAcentral describes it as "tRNA-Gln". Lineage: Eukaryota; Metazoa; Arthropoda; Arachnida; Mesostigmata; Macrochelidae. The record is from RNAcentral.